GAAGCCUCCAAGGAGGUGAACAACGACAUAAGCCGCUGCCGAUGCCCGCCCAACAACUGGACUGGGUUUUCACCCAAAAGUGGGGGGGGGGGGAAUCCACAAGACAACAUCUCUAGGGAGGAAACGGCACCCGCAGGCGUCGAUGUCGCCGAUCCUGGGAGACCAGGCAAGGCUUUCGCAUCGGACUCCCUUAAAGGAUGCAAGACAUCCACAAAACCAGAGCAAGAUAGCUCCGACUCCGCCUUAAGUACACAACAACUCUCUCACCUUAGAGGUAAGCAAACCGCUCCAAACUUGGCACUACAACAGGUUCACAUAGUCACAGGGUACUUGAAGCACCGGUGA
RNAcentral lists this long non-coding RNA (345 nucleotides) under Oryza sativa Indica Group (long-grained rice). RNAcentral describes it as "lncRNA OsLiXu_03g0022540". Lineage: Eukaryota; Viridiplantae; Streptophyta; Magnoliopsida; Poales; Poaceae. The record is from RNAcentral.